Molecule: long non-coding RNA, 840 nt
Organism: Drosophila ananassae
Lineage: Eukaryota; Metazoa; Arthropoda; Insecta; Diptera; Drosophilidae
Exons: 2
Source: RefSeq, a predicted model, not a curated record
AUUGUGUAGAAAUCUCGUUUUUAAAAAGCUGUAGAAAGUGAGUCCAGCCUAGUCCAACCUUGAAACCUUUUGUACGUCGUAGAGUAAUUAAUUAUCUUUCGAUUGUAUAUAGUCAGAAUUGCCACUUUUAACCACUUUCUUUGGAAUUUGCGUUUUUAGCUCAUAACCUAAAAUUCGACAACUCAGAAUUGUUUGAAAUAUGGAAGUCUGUGAAGACCCAAGAACAAAAGUACAAAGCAAUUCUUGAUUUUUUUAAAUCUAAAACUAGUGGCGAAAUUUUUGAGAAAAAAAUGCAAGCUUUUGAGGAUGCCAGUAAGAAAAUAUGCUACCGUUUAACGGUAAAAUGGAAGAAUUGCAGAUCGAAUGCAAAGCUAUUUCAAAGGAGACAUUCCGAUUGGCUCUGUUCACAAACUUGUAUUCCGGUUGGAAGGAGAAAACAUUCAAUAGGACGCCCUGAACUAGACUACUUAGAAAAAUCUCGAAGGGCUCAAAGAAAACAGGUAGCAGAUCUUGUGGUGUCUGAAGGGGGAAACACAAGUUUAUUAAUUCAAUCGGCUAGCAUGGCCGCACGAAAACAGGGUAAACACGAUCUUGCAUUUGCAAGUGAAGACUUCGAAUAUGAAGAGGAAUUCGAUGACAGUCUUAAAUACGAACUAAAUUUUGAACUAGAGAAUGAAAAUCAAGAGCUUUUACAACAUUUGGAUCCCUGAAGCUGUUUCCUUUAUGUGGAACCCUUAAUUUCAUUGAUUUUUAUUAAAACUGUAUAUUAAUAUUAUGUUUUUGAUCCAAUACAACCAUAUUUUAAAACAUUUAAUAAAAUAAAAAAAAUAUAUAUAAAAA